This 95-nucleotide non-coding RNA is filed under the name Lotharella globosa. The record is from RNAcentral. Lineage: Eukaryota; Cercozoa; Chlorarachniophyceae.
UCCUCUCCAAGAGCGCCCAUGGUCUUGGCGAGAUGAAGCCACGGACAAGGCUCGCCUCUUUGUCCACCUCGCGCUCGUCGCUUUGCUCCCCAUCG